ACAGGAAGAAGAUCCUGAGCCAGCAUGGCUUUAAACAGCCACAGGUGGAUAUGACAUCAUAAAGGAUAGAGCAAUUGGGAUAACCUUCUAAUCUAGGGUCUCGCAGACGGCCCUGGAUCCUGCUGGACGGAUGACAGUAAGGCGGGGCACAUGGAGGCAGCUGCCCAGGGGUGCUGGGCUGACGGUCCAAAAUUUUCGAAACAGGAAGAGUAUCAGCAAAUCUGAGCACAUUGGCUUCACAGUCUUCUCGCAGAGGCAGGGGAUCAACUGUCUUCAUGCCAGCAGCCGGAGAAGUCAACAGAGACAUGGGACGGGGUUUUCCUUUCUGGAUGACAAAAAAGACGCACACGUGUGUCCAAAAGUAAAGAACGGAUCAACAUUCAGAUGUAACCAGUCACACGUCACAGAAGGUGUGGGGGAAGAGACAGUGUCCCUGGAGAGACGGCUUAACCACCGACAGAGAACAGCCCUGUGUACAUUUUAGGACAGUAAAAUGUACAUUAACAGUGCACUGAAUGACAAUGUAUGCGGAGACAUCAAC
This 541-nucleotide long non-coding RNA is filed under the name Mus musculus (house mouse). RNAcentral describes it as "predicted gene, 47958". The record is from RNAcentral. Lineage: Eukaryota; Metazoa; Chordata; Mammalia; Rodentia; Muridae.